CUGCGAAACGACCAUAUCGUGCAUAUCCUCGAUAUGGUCGUCGCCCGGAGGUGGCGCUCCGGGCCUGAUGAUGCAGCCAACU
Molecule: non-coding RNA, 82 nt
Filed under: Geoanaerobacter pelophilus
Lineage: Bacteria; Pseudomonadati; Thermodesulfobacteriota; Desulfuromonadia; Geobacterales; Geobacteraceae
Source: RNAcentral